Paramacrobiotus metropolitanus is the source of this 1445-nucleotide long non-coding RNA. RefSeq lists it as uncharacterized. Lineage: Eukaryota; Metazoa; Tardigrada; Eutardigrada; Parachela; Macrobiotidae. The record is from RefSeq and is a predicted model, not a curated record. The transcript has 4 exons.
GCCCCGUAAAGUAUAAAUGUUAAUAUUUGUAACUGUAGGGGGGUAUGACUGUACACUGAUUAUUGAAUAUCGAAGUGUGAUUAUGCUAUUCUGAACAGGACAAUCAUAGUUCGAAAAUUUCGAAAUAAUAUAGUAUAAUGUUUCGAACCUGUUCGCACAUAUGUGGUGACACGUCUGGCAAUUUACAUAAGCUUUUGCGCAGUUAACGGACCUUUUGUCUUUUGAUUGUACAAUUAUAAAGUUUUCUGCGAAAGUUUUCAUCCAAUUUUUUUUCUAAGCUGCGAUUGUUUCGAUGGUGGACGAACAACAUUUUUACAGGGGUGGCCGGUGGGCUACGUUCGUUGAUGGGUGAAUGUCCAAGUUGGCGUCCACGUUGAUGGGUGAAUGACGUUUACACGUAUCGUAUAUUCCGCAGCUUAAUUGUGAAUUCUAAUCGCUAGUUCUCUACCACGCUAAUACGGUGCUAUUAACGCUGUGGCGAAUGUUAAUUAGGAAAAGGAACAGGAAAUUCAGGAAUUGAGUCGUCCAUUGCGCAAUGCUGGAGCAUUGCUGGGAUUCAUCUAUACUUGUACAGGUAGUUUACUUAAAUUCGUGCUGAAUUCAGUCGUGGAGGAUUGCAGAAGGUGAGCAGCGCCGGCCUGUUCCUUAAAUGUAUUACAAGCACUUGACAAGGCUGUAUAAGCUUCGGCAUAGCUGCAUCAGCCUGCAUGGGACUAAAUUUGUGCCGUUUCAUGCAUAUGAAGAUAACUCGGCAUUAAUUUAAAUAAAAACGAUAAACCUCAGUGAAUAAUUUUUUCUACUAUUAUUCUGAUGAUUGAAUUGACAAAAAAGUGCCCGGGUAUGCACUCCAGGUAUGUAUAAUGUUUUUUCAUGGACAUGCGAUAUCCGUUUUGAUGGCGAUUUUAAUAAUUGCGGAUGUUAUUUAGUCCGAUCUCCACGAUGACAUUUGUGAAAAGAACAGCAUGUUAAUCUGCUAUCAGCUACUAUUGCUACGCACGAUCUGGAUCAGAUCUCGGAUAAUAUGGUUUACGAUGCAAAAUGAAGAAAAACAAUGCACUUGGAUUUGUCCCGUGAAGAGGUCCGCGGAAAUAUCGGCCGACAUCAGCUGAAAUAGGAAGCCGAUGCGUUAAAGAAAAAGAACAAGCGAAACACGUUCUCCGGCAUUCAUAAGUUCUUUCUAGUGAAAUUCGUGACAAGGGUAACGCUGCGAACGGAGAGCAGCCGGUUGGGAAGAGAAUCGUGGUUCAGCAAGUGCAUGUGAAGGACGAAGACAGCGGUUUGAAAGUAGUUUUUACUUUUACCUUAAUAUGGAAGGUAAAAAAGUGUUACGAUAAGGAUAGACAAUUCGCUGUUUGUAGUUAUUUCUCUGUUGUUACACUUCUACCUUUUGGUUGUCUGAUAUUGAAUAAACUGUUACAGUACUGUAUAUAUAUGCAUUGAUAUAU